Molecule: non-coding RNA, 28 nt
Filed under: Rattus norvegicus (Norway rat)
Lineage: Eukaryota; Metazoa; Chordata; Mammalia; Rodentia; Muridae
Source: RNAcentral
UGAGAGCUAUGUUGAGGCCGUAGAGCCC